GACCCUACGGGAGCAGCAGUGAGGAAUAUUGGUCAAUGGGCGCGAGCCUGAACCAGCCAAGUCGCGUGAGGGAAGACGGUCCUAUGGAUUGUAAACCUCCUUUGUCGGGGAGCAAAAGACGCCACACGUGGCGUUCCGAGAGUACCCGAAGAAAAAGCAUCGGCUAACUCCGUGCCAGCAGCCGCGGUAAUACGGAGGAUGCGAGCGUUAUCCGGAUUUAUUGGGUUUAAAGGGUGCGCAGGCGGAAGAUCAAGUCAGCGGUAAAAUUGAGAGGCUCAACCUCUUCGAGCCGUUGAAACUGGUUU
RNAcentral lists this ribosomal RNA (305 nucleotides) under uncultured bacterium. RNAcentral describes it as "bacterial SSU rRNA". It matches the Rfam family "Bacterial small subunit ribosomal RNA", at positions 334 to 639 of the family's 1533-position model. The record is from RNAcentral.